CCUACGGGAGGCAGCAGUGAGGAAUAUUGGUCAAUGGACGCAAGUCUGAACCAGCCAUGCCGCGUGAAGGAAGACGGCCCUAUGAGUUGUAAACUGCUUUUGUACGGGGGUAAACUCCAAUAUGCGUAUCUUUCUGAACGUAUCGUACGAAUAAGGAUCGGCUAACUCCGUGCCAGCAGCCGCGGGAAUACGGAGGAUUCAAGCGUUAUCCGGAUUGAUUGGGUUUAAAGGGUGCGUAGGCGGUCGGAUAAGUUAGAGGUGAAAUCCCGAGGCUCAACUUCGGAAUUGCCUCUGAUACUGUUAGGCUAGAGAGCAGUUGCGGUAGGCGGAAUGUAUGGUGUAGCGGUGAAAUGCUUAGAGAUCAUAAAGAACACCGAUUGCGAAGGCAGCUUACUAAGCUACAUCUGACGUUGAGGCACGAAAGCGUGGGGAGCAAACAGGAUUAGAUACCCUAGUAGUC
RNAcentral lists this ribosomal RNA (460 nucleotides) under uncultured bacterium. RNAcentral's name for it is "partial 16S ribosomal RNA". It matches the Rfam family "Bacterial small subunit ribosomal RNA", at positions 338 to 795 of the family's 1533-position model. The record is from RNAcentral.